GGGGUAAGACAUGUACAGGCUCUAACGCAUAUCUUCUCUCAGCUUUCGAAGGCAUCCGAGACCAGCGACUGUGGGGAGGACCUGCAAGUCUCUAACGGCUCAGCCCGUGAGCUGAUUCGGCCUCUGGGCUUCGGUUUCCAGAGUCGGCUUUCUGAGCAGGUACUGGACGUGGGGGCUCUGUCUCCUGUUUUGGACAGCCCCACGUGCAAGGCCCAGGAGCUGGGAGAAGAGGAAAGAGACCAAAGCAAAGCCAGUGUAGAGGAAGAGCAAAGCAAAAGAACAAAAGCUGCUGAGAGGCAACCAGAGAAGGAUGUUAAACACGAGCAGUUCUUGAACCAGCCUAGCGAAGAAUCCCUGGAGGAAAUAGCCAAGAAGCUGGAGACGGAGCUUGAGCAAGAGAAAAUGCAUUUAUUGCAAACAAAGCAGGAGAAAAUUCAGCAAUUCCAGGAGGAGAUGAGGCAGCAGCAGGAGGAGGAAGCUGAGAAGCUUCAUCAGCAAAAAGAAAAAUCCCUCGGGACUCUAAAAGAAGAUCUAGCGAAGUCUUCUGAGGAGGAAGAGCUGUGUGUCAGAAAGGAAGAAACCGAAAGACUCUCAAAGCUGCGAGCAAGAAUCACCUCAGAGACCGAGGCGGAGGCGCAGAGGAUAAGGUGAAAAGUUUUGCUGCCGUCCCUGGGGGUGUGCACUCUGCUGGUUUGGGAGGGAAACAGCUUGUGUGCCACCAGAGAGCACUCAAAGCGGAGGUGCUCGCCCUCCU
Molecule: long non-coding RNA, 754 nt
Filed under: Calidris pygmaea (Spoon-billed sandpiper)
Lineage: Eukaryota; Metazoa; Chordata; Aves; Charadriiformes; Scolopacidae
Description: lncRNA (ENSCPGG00000000370.1)
Source: RNAcentral